RNAcentral lists this unclassified non-coding RNA (375 nucleotides) under soil metagenome. RNAcentral describes it as "partial contains 5.8S ribosomal RNA, internal transcribed spacer 2, and large subunit ribosomal RNA". The stretch from base 1 to 120 matches the Rfam family "5.8S ribosomal RNA", at positions 35 to 154 of the family's 154-position model. The record is from RNAcentral.
GAUGAAGAACGCAGCGAAAUGCGAUAAGUAAUGUGAAUUGCAGAAUUCAGUGAAUCAUCGAAUCUUUGAACGCACAUUGCGCCCGCCAGUAUUCUGGCGGGCAUGCCUGUUCGAGCGUCAUUUCAACCCUCAAGACCCCUUCGGGGGACUUGGUGUUGGGGACCGGCACAGGGGCCUGCCUGCUUGUCUUGCAGCGCCCUCGCCGCCCCCGAAAUGAAUUGGCGGCCUCGUCGCGGCCUCCCCUGCGUAGUAGCACAGCCUCGCAACGGGAACGUGACGGCGGCCACUGCCGUAAAACAACCCCAAUUUUAUUAGAGUUGACCUCGAAUCAGGUAGGAAUACCCGCUGAACUUAAGCAUAUCAAUAAGCGGAGGA